UACUUAGACAAGUUACUAAAGUCUGUGGGAC
This 31-nucleotide non-coding RNA is filed under the name Mus musculus (house mouse). Lineage: Eukaryota; Metazoa; Chordata; Mammalia; Rodentia; Muridae. The record is from RNAcentral.